RNAcentral lists this ribosomal RNA (253 nucleotides) under uncultured bacterium. Its description in RNAcentral is "partial 16S ribosomal RNA". It matches the Rfam family "Archaeal small subunit ribosomal RNA", at positions 474 to 727 of the family's 1478-position model. The record is from RNAcentral.
UACCAGCACCCCGAGUGGUCGGGACGAUUAUUGGGCCUAAAGCAUCCGUAGCCGGUACUGCAAGUCUUCCGUUAAAUCCACCUGCUCAACAGUUGGGCUGCGGAGGAUACUACAGCGCUAGGAGGCGGGAGAGGCAAGCGGUACUCAGUGGGUAGGGGUAAAAUCCAUUGAUCCAUUGAAGACCACCAGUGGCGAAGGCGGCUUGCCAGAACGCACUCGACGGUGAGGGAUGAAAGCUGGGGGAGCAAACCGG